RNAcentral lists this unclassified non-coding RNA (324 nucleotides) under soil metagenome. Its description in RNAcentral is "partial contains 5.8S ribosomal RNA, internal transcribed spacer 2, and large subunit ribosomal RNA". The stretch from base 1 to 120 matches the Rfam family "5.8S ribosomal RNA", at positions 35 to 154 of the family's 154-position model. The record is from RNAcentral.
GAUGAAGAACGCAGCGAAGUGCGAUAAGUAGUGUGAAUUGCAGAAUUCAGUGAAUCAUCGAAUCUUUGAACGCACAUUGCGCCCCUUGGUAUUCCAUGGGGCAUGCCUGUUCGAGCGUCAUUUGUACCUUCAAGCUUUGCUUGGUGUUGGGUGUUUGUCCCGAGGGACUCGCCUUAAAGUAAUUGGCAGCCAGUGUUUGGUUUUGAAGCGCAGCACAAGUCGCGAUUCAAGGCUACACGCCCGCUUCCACAAGCCUUUUUUCACUUUUGACCUCGGAUCAGGUAGGGAUACCCGCUGAACUUAAGCAUAUCAAUAAGCGGAGGA